UGGAUUUGUUGCAGCCAGCUGGCAUAAGGUGUUCCUCUUGCUGGCUUGCUACCCAUACCAGCUUUUGCCACUUACAGAAACAUUAAAGAACAAUUUUGAAUACCUAAGCUGAUAAAAUUCUUACGUAAGGAUCUUGAAUUCUUGGCUUAACCUAUUUCUUCACUGCAGUCUAAUGUGGAUUUGUUAAGCCAGCUGGUUAAUUUUACAUCAUACAAUGUUCUUAAUUAAAGGCACCUUUUUAAAAAUGUAACUUCAGCCAUCUAAACCAGUAUUUGUAUCCAAUUGUUUAGGCUGCACGGAAUUCUCAUUUUCCUUUGAUGUGAACUUCUAUAACAUGUACCAAUUGAAGGUUUACGUUCCCAGAGUUGCUGCCUAAUGUGGCGUGUUGUUCCAGCCUAUGCCGAUGAAAGAUAUUUUUUCUUCAAGUUGAAAUGUGGCUGUUCCUUGGUGCUGGCGUCGUGUAGCGGAAGUUGCAUCUUGUAUUUUGUUCAAUUGUACAAGUGUCUUUAUCGUUUAUAUGUUGAGAACUUCUCAACAAUGAGAAGUUACAGAAUAUGAGGAGUUUUUACGUAAAAUAAAUAAUAAAUAUUUUCGGGAUUGGAAAAACACCGAGGAAAAUGGUGGGGGUGGAGUGACCGGUGGGCUGAUUUGACUUAAAUUGAAAUGCUAAUUAAUAGUGAUGUGAAAGUCAGUGUUGAAACUCUUAUUAACCCAUAACCCAACAAAAAUCACAUUCCAUACCCCCUAUUACCCAUCCCUCUAAUAAUCAAUUAUUCACACCCCUAAUACUCUUACCUCCAAACUCCUAAUACCCAUACCUAUAAUAUCCAUACCUAUUAAUCUCAAAUAUAAUUAAUGUAUACAUG
This is a long non-coding RNA of Daphnia pulicaria, 866 nucleotides long. RefSeq lists it as uncharacterized. Lineage: Eukaryota; Metazoa; Arthropoda; Branchiopoda; Diplostraca; Daphniidae. The transcript has 4 exons. The record is from RefSeq and is a predicted model, not a curated record.